RNAcentral lists this transfer RNA (75 nucleotides) under Trichocoleus sp. FACHB-46. Its description in RNAcentral is "tRNA-His". Lineage: Bacteria; Bacillati; Cyanobacteriota; Cyanophyceae; Leptolyngbyales; Trichocoleusaceae. RNAcentral also lists the same sequence under 1 other name. The record is from RNAcentral.
GUAGCUACCCGAAGUGGUGGAGGGGAUGGUUUGUGACACCAGUGUUAGCGAGUUCAACCCUCGUCAGUUCCCCCA